CAUUACCAAACCUGGGAUCCUGUCUCUUGGAGUAAUUGCAUAUGUUUGGACAUGCCUUCUGCCUAACUCGAAAUCCUUUCUUUACUCUAGAACUCUGAUAGCAUGUCAAGAAAACGGACAUUGGGUCUAACUCGGCCUUAAAAUUUAUCUGAUGAUGUGAGGUUUACCCAAAAUCAUAUAAACACACAACUCCUCAUUCCUCAAAUAAUGUACGUCAAUCUAACACCAAAACAUACGCAUAAAGCCAUGCAGCAAAAAGGAAAAGAAAAGGAAAUGAUGAUAGUUUUUUCCCCUUACCAAAAUCGUC
This 307-nucleotide long non-coding RNA is filed under the name Capsicum annuum. RNAcentral's name for it is "long non-coding RNA (CANN_LNC011801)". The record is from RNAcentral. Lineage: Eukaryota; Viridiplantae; Streptophyta; Magnoliopsida; Solanales; Solanaceae.